GACGAACGCUGGCGGCGUGCCUAAUACAUGCAAGUGGGACGCAAGGGAACACACUGUGCUUGCACACCGUGUUUUCUUGAGUCGCGAACGGGUGAGUAACGCGUAGGUAACCUGCCUAUUAGCGGGGGAUAACUAUUGGAAACGAUAGCUAAUACCGCAUAAUAUUAAUUAUUGCAUGAUAAUUGAUUGAAAGAUGCAAGCGCAUCACUAGUAGAUGGACCUGCGUUGUAUUAGCUAGUUGGUAAGGUAAGAGCUUACCAAGGCGACGAUACAUAGCCGACCUGAGAGGGUGAUCGGCCACACUGGGACUGAGACACGGCCCAGACCUCUACGGGAGGCAGCAGUAGGGAAUCUUCGGCAAUGGACGAAAGUCUGACCGAGCAACGCCGCGUGAGUGAAGAAGGUUUUCGGAUCGUAAAGCUCUGUUGUAAGUCAAGAACGUGUGUGAGAGUGGAAAG
This 458-nucleotide ribosomal RNA is filed under the name Streptococcus mutans. RNAcentral describes it as "bacterial SSU rRNA". It matches the Rfam family "Bacterial small subunit ribosomal RNA", at positions 28 to 464 of the family's 1533-position model. The record is from RNAcentral. Lineage: Bacteria; Bacillati; Bacillota; Bacilli; Lactobacillales; Streptococcaceae.